This 472-nucleotide ribosomal RNA is filed under the name uncultured bacterium. Its description in RNAcentral is "SSU rRNA". It matches the Rfam family "Bacterial small subunit ribosomal RNA", at positions 26 to 518 of the family's 1533-position model. The record is from RNAcentral.
AGGACGAACGCUGGCGGCGUGCUUAACACAUGCAAGUCGAGCGGAAAGGCCCUUCGGGGUACUCGAGCGGCGAACGGGUGAGUAACACGUGAGCAACCUGCCCUUAGCUUCGGGAUAGCUCCGGGAAACCGGAAUUAAUACCGGAUAUGACUAUGGCCGACAUCAGCCAUGGUGGAAAGUUUUUCGGCUAGGGAUGGACUCGCGGCCUAUCAGCUAGUUGGUGAGGUAACGGCUCACCAAGGCGACGACGGGUAGCCGGCCUGAGAGGGCGACCGGCCACACUGGGACUGAGACACGGCCCAGACUCCUACGGGAGGCAGCAGUGGGGAAUAUUGCGCAAUGGGCGAAAGCCUGACGCAGCGACGCCGCGUGGGGGAUGAAUGCCUUCGGGUUGUAAACCCUUUCAGCAGGGACGAGCGAAAGUGACGGUACCUGCAGAAGAAGCGCCGGCUAACUACGUGCCAGCAGCCGC